GACGAACGCUGGCGGCGUGCUUAACACAUGCCAGUCGAACGGAAAGGCCCUGCUUGCAGGUUGCUCGAGUGGCGAACGGGUGAGUAACACGUGGGUGAUCUGCCCCUUGCUUUGGGUUAAGCCUGGGAAACUGGGUCUAAUACUGGAAAGGACCAUGCGGGAGGGGGUGUGGUGGAAAGAUUAGUUUCGGUAAGGGAUGAGCUCGCGGCCUAUCAGCUUGUGUGGGGGGUAAUGGCCUACCAAGGCGGCGACGGGUAGCGGGCCUGAGGGGGGGGACGGCCACAUUGGGACUGAGCUACGGCCCAGACUCCUACGGGAGGCAGAAGGGGGGAAUAUUGCACAAUGGGCGCAAGCCUGAUGCAGCGAGGCCGCGUGGGGGAUGACGGCCUUCGGGUUGUAAACUCCUCACAGACAUGACGACGCCUUCGGGUGACGUUAGUGGCAGAAGAAGCACCGGCUAACUACGUG
This 468-nucleotide ribosomal RNA is filed under the name uncultured bacterium. RNAcentral's name for it is "partial 16S ribosomal RNA". It matches the Rfam family "Bacterial small subunit ribosomal RNA", at positions 28 to 507 of the family's 1533-position model. The record is from RNAcentral.